This 433-nucleotide ribosomal RNA is filed under the name uncultured bacterium. RNAcentral's name for it is "partial 16S ribosomal RNA". It matches the Rfam family "Bacterial small subunit ribosomal RNA", at positions 29 to 507 of the family's 1533-position model. The record is from RNAcentral.
AACGAACGCUGGCGGCAUGCCUAACACAUGCAAGUCGAACGAGACCUUCGGGUCUAGUGGCGCACGGGUGCGUAACGCGUUGGAACCUUCCCUUAGGUUCGGAAUAACUCCCCGAAAGGGGUGCUAAUACCGGAUAAUGUCUUCGGACCAAAGAUUUAUCGCCUUUGUAUGGGCCCGCGUUGGAUUAGCUUGUUGGUAGGGUAAAAGCAUACCAAGGCGACGAUCCAUAGCUGGUAUGAGAGGAUGAUCAGCCACACUGGGACUGAGACACGGCCGAGACUACUACGGGAGGCAGCAGUGGGGAAUAUUGGAAAAUGGGGGAAAGCAUGAUAAAGCAAGGACGCGUGAGUGAUGAAGGCAUUAGGGUUGUAAAGCUCUUUUACCCGGGAUGAUAAUGACAGUACCGGGAGAAUAAGCACCGGCUAACUCCGUG